Molecule: ribosomal RNA, 253 nt
Filed under: uncultured bacterium
Lineage: Bacteria
Description: partial 16S ribosomal RNA
Rfam family: Bacterial small subunit ribosomal RNA
Source: RNAcentral
UACGUAGGGGGCGAGCGUUGUCCGAAGUUACUGGGCGUAAAGCGCGUGUAGGCGGCCAGGUAGGUCUGCUGUGAAAACUCGAGGCUCAACCUCGAGAUGUCGGCAGAAACCCUCUGGCUAGAGUUCGGAAGAGGAGAGUGGAAUUCCCGGUGUAGCGGUGAAAUGCGCAGAUAUCGGGAAGAACACCCGUGGCGAAGGCGGCUCUCUGGGACGGUACUGACGCUGAGACGCGAAAGCGUGGGGAGCGAACAGG